UCGACUAUUCACUUGUGCAAUUGUGUAAAACUAUGUUAUCAACACUUUUGUUACAUAUUUUGACGAUUGUUGGAACGCAAUAGGUAAUUUAUAGAUAUUUAAAAAUACAAAACGCCUAUGUUUUUCCCAUUUCUGG
Molecule: long non-coding RNA, 136 nt
Organism: Haliotis rubra (blacklip abalone)
Lineage: Eukaryota; Metazoa; Mollusca; Gastropoda; Lepetellida; Haliotidae
Exons: 3
Source: RefSeq, a predicted model, not a curated record